Molecule: ribosomal RNA, 253 nt
Filed under: uncultured bacterium
Lineage: Bacteria
Description: partial 16S ribosomal RNA
Rfam family: Bacterial small subunit ribosomal RNA
Source: RNAcentral
UACGAAGGGGGCUAGCGUUGCUCGGAAUCACUGGGCGUAAAGGGUGCGUAGGCGGGUCUUUAAGUCAGGGGUGAAAUCCUGGAGCUCAACUCCAGAACUGCCUUUGAUACUGAAGAUCUUGAGUUCGGGAGAGGUGAGUGGAACUGCGAGUGUAGAGGUGAAAUUCGUAGAUAUUCGCAAGAACACCAGUGGCGAAGGCGGCUCACUGGCCCGAUACUGACGCUGAGGCACGAAAGCGUGGGAGCAAACAGGG